GAGGGUGAUGCCUGCCCAAUGGUUGUAUCUAAAAGCGGUUGAUAAAAGUCGACCUCGUAAGGACAAUUGAAUGGCCGCGGUAACACUGACCGUGAUAAUGUAGCGUAAUCAAUAGCCAAUUAAUUGUUGGCCAGUAUGAAUGGCGCCACGAAGGCCCCACUGUCUUAAGGAAAUUCCCAGUGAAAUUGAAUUCGUAGUGAAGAUGCUACGUCCAAUUUGUUAGACGAAAAGACCCCGUUGAGCUUUACUGGGGCACUUACACGGCCCCGGCCUUCCCGUGUCCGGGAACCGGCCGAAUUUAAAUGGGUGGUUUAGACUAUGUGGCAGCCCCCCGCCGGGGCAGAUGAAACCCCACUCCCCCAUGUCAAAGGGGCUAACCCCCUCUUGGGGGGGAGAGUGUAAGUAGGACAGUUUGGUUGGGGCGACCGCCUUUUAAAGAGUAACGAAGGUGCGCUUAAGGUGCGCAAUUAAUGACUGAAGCCUGACUGCGAGGGGGACACCCCGAGCAGACACCCCUAAGCCCGCCCGAAGGGCGGCGGUGGGGUGG
Molecule: ribosomal RNA, 547 nt
Filed under: Palythoa grandiflora
Lineage: Eukaryota; Metazoa; Cnidaria; Anthozoa; Zoantharia; Sphenopidae
Also listed under: 1 other name
Description: partial 16S ribosomal RNA
Rfam family: Bacterial large subunit ribosomal RNA
Source: RNAcentral